Molecule: small RNA, 29 nt
Filed under: Bombyx mori (domestic silkworm)
Lineage: Eukaryota; Metazoa; Arthropoda; Insecta; Lepidoptera; Bombycidae
Description: ovarian small RNA-14308
Source: RNAcentral
CGCAAGACUUGUGCCGAUGAACAGCGAUU